This 3521-nucleotide long non-coding RNA is filed under the name Haliotis rubra (blacklip abalone). RNAcentral describes it as "uncharacterized LOC124259289, transcript variant X3". The record is from RNAcentral. Lineage: Eukaryota; Metazoa; Mollusca; Gastropoda; Lepetellida; Haliotidae.
AGACUGUGUCCAGUGUCUUCAGAUAACACUGUUUCGGCGACUCACGUUGACACGUUGACAACCACCAGUGCAGCUGAGGCAGCAACUUUACCUUUGUAUGACGAUAGGUACUUGAUGCCAGAGGGGGUGGUCAUCACUGUGGGAGUGGUCAUUAUUCUGGUAUCCAUGGUGGCCUUGGUCAUCAUACUGUACAGUGGAAGAAUGGAAACAAAUCUGAGCAAACGACGAGGGCGGAAUGAGGAAGCUGAAACUACGAUUACUCUGAGUGGCAUCAAUGUAGACGUGGAAUAUAUGCAGUUUGUGCAUAAGAAAUCUCGUGUCUGUUGUUGGUCAGCAUGUCGUCAGCUGUUUCUUGAUAAAGAUAGUUGUAGAGGAACUAAUAUGCCAGUGCUUGGUGUUUCUUGAAUGUUAUCAUGUCGGUUGUGUAUGUAAUAAGUAUUGUUUUAUAUAUUCUGAGAUUUCAAGUGAUCAAGUCUAAUGGUAUAUCAAUGUAUAUACCUGAAUGGUAAUGUAAAACAAAUCGAAUGAGUGUAGUUAACAAAUCGGUUCUGAAAGAAAUGUUUUGUGAUGUUUUGUUGAUUAUAUAAUGUUUUACUGAGUCUCCAAUAAAAGUGUUGUAACUAUGAUGUAUUUUGUCUUAAUAUGCUAUACAUCAGAGAGAGAGAGAGAGAGAGAGAGAGAGAGAGAGAGAGAGAGAGAGAGAGAGAGAGAGAGAGAGAGAGAGAGAGAGAGAGAGAGAGAGAGAGAGAGAGAGAUUUGACAAGUGUUGUUAAUUGAGACGCGGAUUAUAUUACCAACAUUUCUAACAUCAUUGGGGACUUCAGGCUUCACGUAAACAAAUAUUUUCUGAGAUAGGUGUAGGUUAUUAUGUAACGAUUUCAACCGUUGUAUAAUGAAUCACCAUAUUAAUACAUCAAUCAUUCAUUUUGAUUAUAUACAUUCUUGAUAGUCAAUAUCCCAUAUGAGCAAUGGCGCAAUCGGAGGGGUGAUAUUUGAGAAUGGGGUUACUUUGGAUAGAAUAGUUUAAGUAUAUUCUUUAGUUUGAGAUUGCAGUGGUAUGUCAGAGUUAGAUCUCCAACCCUGUUCAGAAUGUCAGUGUGUGCCCUAUUAAUCGAACAUCUCAUUUAUUUAUCGUAUAUAUCUUCCAGUUGGUGUUUAUGAAUGCAAAUUGUACUGCAAUAUUCGUGGUCAGGGUGUAACAUUUUGUAAUUUACUUCAGUUCUUUCGUUUAAAUAUAACUCAGGUGAGUUCUUUUUCAAAAUGCAUCAUUGGAAUGAGGCCGGAUUUAAUGUUUAUUUGUGUUACAUGUAUACAUGUAUGUGCUUUGCAUUUGCCCUUGUCAGAUAUCUGCAAUAUAUUGAUAUCCAACUUGAAAAAGAAUAUAAUGCCAAAUAUACAUGCAAUUUUCUAUUCAAGAUGACGAGUACAGAUCGACUAUGUAAACUAUGUAAAUUUGUUUGUCAGUUAUCACCAGUGCCUUAUGUUUGUAUGCUACCUCAAUUUGUUUACGUGAAAUGAUUCGGGUUGCUGUAGAGAGACCCAUUUGUGCGAUCUACCGAGGAUACAUGCGGAUAUAUUGUGACAGGAAAAACAACGUUUUGUUCAGUGAAAUUUGCAUGAUCUUAUCCCAGUUAACACCCAUUUUAUAUCUUACGAGCAUGGUAGACUGGCUGCUUGGACCAACUGCAACUGAUAAAAAGGUUGUUCUAAAUAUAGCAACAUCCAUUGACGUCCAGGUCUCACGAUGUAUACUGGAGUAAAACAUGGCGUCCAGGGUGAAUAUUCGUCCCAGUCGCCAGACACCUGAAACUGUCCGAAAUGGACUAGUAGUGACUCAAUACUGGACAUACGGACGGUUUAUAUCGGUUCAAAGCGAUGUCCGACUCAACUAAAAUAAUUUUCCAGAGGGUGUCAGCUGGACUUGAUAUGAAAUGUUCGUUGGGAAUCCUUGUGAUAACCAUGACUAUUAGGUGGAGUCAACAGAAGGCCCGUGUGUAAAAAGAGUAUUAUAUGACAUCGUCACCCACAUCUGCGAUUCCUGCAGUGAUAUAUGUGAAUAUGUUGAAGCACCGACAACCACCGAGGUUAAUACAGGAAAGGUACAUGACACCCAGAUGACGUUAUCUGUCCAAUCUCAACGCCAACUAAAAUCAGAUAUGGCAACAAAGGAAACUGAGGUCUGCAAGUAGAAAAGCCUUGUCUUCCACAACAAUGCUUCGAUGAAAACAUAAACUGCCAUUCUGUCUGUGUCAAUGCAGGAGAUAUAGAUAUCAGUUCUGGAAUGGCCAUGUGUCUUUUGGACAGGGAAAAUCCUUCAAGGCGAAUGUCAAUGGGAUAUCACGGACCAACGUGGUCGCCGACCACGUGCCUGUACUCGUGGUUAUGAUGUAUUGCAGUCGUCACUGCGGCAUUUGGCUCUUGUGUUUUAUCAUUCAUCUGACAAAGACGAAGAGGUGUUUCUGGCUACAGCAGACUCAACCAGAACAACUGGCGAAGGGAAUCCUCUUACCCAGCCGUGGACGACUGUCAGUGUGAAAACAUGACACAAGAUGCAUCUAUUUCACAAAAAUCACCGCAAUGUGAAAAUAAAUUAAUAAAUAAAAUGUAUCAGUAUGUGCUUAUAUUUUUUCUUCUGAAACACAACACAUGCACACGACGUAAAACAAUAUGUAAUCAUAUUUUGUACAAAUUACGUAAAGUACUUUACUUUACUUUUCUUAUGGACAAAUUAAUAAAGUAACUUGACAUAAUAUUCAGCUUAUGAGUAACCAUCGAGUUACUUCCCUUUCAAAGGUCACGACAUCAUGGAGAUGUGUCGCACUGGGCGUGACAUGGUUUCAAGUACUGCAUUGCCUUGAGUGCAUGAUGGAGUUUGUUUUAGAUGAUAAUCGUUGUUCUCUGGCUUUGACGUGUUUUAUUAUCACAAUUCGAUGCAUCGUUUGCGAAUAUCAGAAGUAGCUCUGUUGGGUAUUUCAUCGAAACUACGUACCGGAAAUUAUGUUGCACAUUUUAUUAUUGGCAGCAAACUCAGUAAUUAAUUUCGUUAACUCAUCAAUAUUUCACAGAUAAGUAUCGAUUUUAUUCUUAUAUUUGUGAGACUGCAAGGAACUUUGCGUGAAGUAAAUUAUAUUUAUGUCAAAUUAUAAAUCUCGUCAUCAUGUGACAAUUUCGUAGUAUACAAUGUAGCACAAGGGAUUACACAGAACCUGCACAGGUUGCUGUCAGCGAGAGCAGAGAAACACGUCCAGCCAGCCCGAGAGAUACGCCAGACUGAAUGAAGUGUAUACGGCGGUAGGUGGAGAGCGAUCGAUUAACCUCUUUUCGCUGAAAGUGGCUGGCUAUAGGUUGACAGCGUAAACACCACUCCCUGAGUGUGUGAACACAUGACCAAAUACGUUUGUGCUUAUUUAGCUAUGAUUCACUGCUAAACUAACGCCAUGGAGAUCAUCAAAACAUACUUAUAUGCAACAAUCUGUAUAGUAUCACUCUGUAUAGACAAGUAAUAAAAUAAUUUCAAUUUC